This 267-nucleotide ribosomal RNA is filed under the name uncultured bacterium. RNAcentral's name for it is "partial 16S ribosomal RNA". It matches the Rfam family "Bacterial small subunit ribosomal RNA", at positions 45 to 339 of the family's 1533-position model. The record is from RNAcentral.
AUGCCUAACACAUGCAAGUCGAACGAAGGCUUCGGCCUUAGUGGCGCACGGGUGCGUAACGCGUGGGAAUCUGCCCUUGGGUUCGGAAUAACAGUUAGAAAUGACAGCUAAUACCGGAUGAUGUCGUAAGACCAAAGAUUUAUCGCCCAAGGAUGAGCCCGCGUAGGAUUAGCUAGUUGGCGGGGUAAAGGCCCACCAAGGCGACGAUCCUUAGCUGGUCUGAGAGGAUGAUCAGCCACACUGGAACUGAGACACGGCCUAGACUCC